GCCGGGCAUGGUGGUGCAUGCCUGUAAUCCUAGCUACUUGGAAGGCUGAGGCAGGAGAAACACUUGAACCUGGAGGUGGAGGUUGCAGUGAGCUGAGAUCACGCCACUGCACUCCAGCCUGGGCGAUAGAGUAAGACUCCAUCUCAAAAAAAAAAAAAAAAAAAAAANNNNNNNNNNCCCAGGCUGGAGUGCAGUGGCGUGAUCUCAGCUCACUGCAACCUCCACCUCCAGGUUCAAGUGUUUCUCCUGCCUCAG
Molecule: signal recognition particle RNA, 255 nt
Filed under: Gorilla gorilla gorilla (western lowland gorilla)
Lineage: Eukaryota; Metazoa; Chordata; Mammalia; Primates; Hominidae
Description: Metazoan signal recognition particle RNA
Rfam family: Metazoan signal recognition particle RNA
About the family: The signal recognition particle (SRP) is a universally conserved ribonucleoprotein. It is involved in the co-translational targeting of proteins to membranes. The eukaryotic SRP consists of a 300-nucleotide 7S RNA and six proteins: SRPs 72, 68, 54, 19, 14, and 9.
Source: Rfam by way of RNAcentral